This 468-nucleotide ribosomal RNA is filed under the name uncultured bacterium. RNAcentral describes it as "partial 16S ribosomal RNA". It matches the Rfam family "Bacterial small subunit ribosomal RNA", at positions 28 to 507 of the family's 1533-position model. The record is from RNAcentral.
GACGAACGCUGGCGGCGUGCUUAACACAUGCAAGUCGAACGGAAAGGCCCUGCUUUUGUGGGGUGCUCGAGUGGCGAACGGGUGAGUAACACGUGAGUAACCUGCCCUUGACUUUGGGAUAACUUCAGGAAACUGGGGCUAAUACCGGAUAGGAGCUCCUGCUGCAUGGUGGGGGUUGGAAAGUUUCGGCGGUUGGGGAUGGACUAGCGGCUUAUCAGCUUGUUGGUGGGGUAGUGGCUUACCAAGGCUUUGACGGGUAGCCGGCCUGAGAGGGUAACCGGCCACAAUGGGACUAAGAUACGGACCAGACGCCUACGGGAGGCAGCAGUGGGGAAUAUUGCACAGUGGGCGGAAGCCUGAUGCAGCAACGCCGCGUGCGUGAUGACGGCUUUCGGGUUGUAAACCGCUUUCGCCUGUGACGAAGCGUGAGUGACGGUAAUGGGUAAAGAAGCACCGGCUAACUACGUG